This 240-nucleotide unclassified non-coding RNA is filed under the name soil metagenome. Its description in RNAcentral is "partial contains 5.8S ribosomal RNA, internal transcribed spacer 2, and large subunit ribosomal RNA". The record is from RNAcentral.
AACCUUAUGGACCUGCGGGCGUAUACCUGCGGAAGGAUCAUUAAAAAGAGUGUGUACCCCUCUGUAAAAUGAGUGGGUUACCUCCCGUCCUUUGUUGACCUCUUAGGAGGUUAUUUUGAACUUUCUGCUUCGGUGGGGUUAAACCUACCGGAACACCCUCAAAUUCUUAUCAUUUAAAAAUUGUUCAGUCUGAUUUUUGUUAAUAAAAACAAAAAACUUUCAGCAAUGGAUCUCAGAUCG